GGCCUACGGGGGGCAGCAGUGGGGAAUAUUGCACAAUGGGCGCAAGCCUGAUGCAGCCAUGCCGCGUGUAUGAAGAAGGCCUUCGGGUUGUAAAGUACUUUCAGCGGGGAGGAAGGUGUUGUGGUUAAUAACCACAGCAAUUGACGUUACCCGCAGAAGAAGCACCGGCUAACUCCGUGCCAGCAGCCGCGGUAAUACGGAGGGUGCAAGCGUUCAUCGGAAUUACUGGGCGUAAAGAGCACGCAGGCGGUCUGUGAAGUCGGAUGGGAAAGCCCCGGGCUCAACCUGGGAACUGCAUUCGAAACUGGCAGGCUAGAGUCUUGUAGAGGGGGGUAGAAUUCCAGGUGUAGCGGUGAAAUGCGUAGAGAUCUAGAGGAAUACCGGUGGCGAAGGCGGCCCCCUGGACAAAGACUGACGCUAAGGUGCGAAAGCGUGGGGAGCAAACAGGAUUAGAUACCCUAGUAGUCU
RNAcentral lists this ribosomal RNA (468 nucleotides) under uncultured bacterium. RNAcentral describes it as "bacterial SSU rRNA". It matches the Rfam family "Bacterial small subunit ribosomal RNA", at positions 335 to 796 of the family's 1533-position model. The record is from RNAcentral.